This 899-nucleotide long non-coding RNA is filed under the name Ananas comosus (pineapple). RNAcentral describes it as "long non-coding RNA (ACOM_LNC042872)". The record is from RNAcentral. Lineage: Eukaryota; Viridiplantae; Streptophyta; Magnoliopsida; Poales; Bromeliaceae.
UGAUUUUAUACUUAAAAUUACAAUACAAUAAUAAAGUAAUAAACUGUAAAAUUUCCAUAAAGGUUUUACUUAUCGAAAAUGUAUGAAAUUUGAUUUCUAAACACUUCAAGUGGUAUAAAUCAUGUUCAACGAUACCGAUCGUCGAUUUAGAGGCUCAAUCAUCGAAAGCAAAUGGAUAGCAAGAGAGCCCAUUUGCUACGAAUAGUAUUCUAACUCAACCCUCUCUCUCUCUCUCUCUCUCUCUCUCUCUCUCUCUCUCUCUCUCUCUAUAUAUAUAUAUAUAUAUAUAUAGUUGAGCUAGAAUACUAUCGGUAGUAAAUGAAUCGUUUUACUACCGAUUUGUUUUCGAUGAUAGAGCUUCCAAAUUGACGAUUGGCUCCGUUAAAUAUGAUCUAAACCAUUUAAACUACCCAGAAAUCAAAUUUCACGCACUUUCGAUAUUGUUCUUUUAUCCAUCAAGUAAACAGAAAAAUGAAUGGCUGAAAAUGAAUACUCUUUAAAAAAUGAUAAUAGGAGUCUUGUAAUCAAGAUCAAGAGUAUAGAUCUUGUUUUAAAUAGUUUAAAGAAUUUUCUAACAAAAAUUCAAUUGAUUUGGAUAUCUUUACGCUGUUAAACGAGAAAACGCCUCUUAUCGACCAUUAAAAUUACAAAUUUUGAAACCCUUUGAUCAUUACGCAAAUGAUGUCGAAAAUAUUUGAAAUUUGAUUUCUAAACACUUCAAGUGGUAUAGAUCAUGUUCAACGGAGCCGAUCGUCAAUUUGGAAGUUCUAUCAUCGAAAACAAAUCGGUAGUAAAACGACUCGUUUACUGCUGAUAGUAUUCUAGCUCAACUUUAUAUAUAUAUAUAUAAUGUGAAAAAAUAAUAAAAUACUGAUAAAGUCCUCCUCAUUCUUAAAUUU